AAAAUGUGUCGACAGAGUGUUUGUUGUCAAAUGCUUCAGCAGCACAACGCAAUUGUUCGUGCUGCAGUUUUAUCAGACAAAUUAUUCACACUUAUAUCGUGAUACUGCGCCCUUUAUGAAGUUGUUGUUUUAGUUGAAGGUGUAGUUUCAUCUACUGGAUUAACUAACGCCGGAAGGCCAGAAAGAAUAUCGACGCGGAACGUUAUCGUUUCUUGACGAUACUAACGUUACCGUACAGUAAGUUAGUGACGUAGAGAAAAUAUCCACAUUAACGGUUCUAUGGGUUUACAGUCAAAGAGAGUACAGAUUUACUUUGUCAGAAUAUAAGUCUUAAAAUGGAUGAAUGUCCAGAUCUACUGAAUGUGGAAAAAGGAGAAUUGGAGGUGAAAAGUGUCGUAGAUGAUAUUAAAACAGAGGAGGAGGAGGAGGAGGAGGAAGAGGACGAGGAGGCAAUGCCACAUUCAGAAUUUCUCGACAUCUUUGAGGAAGGGCUUGCUCUGAUGGUGCAGGACCCUUUACUUUGUGACCUGCCGAUUCAGGUGACAUUGGAAGAGGUGAACUCUCAGGUGGCUCUGGAAUAUGGUCAAGCCAUGACUGUUCGAGUUUGUAAGGGCGAUGGAGAAGUCAUGCCUAUUGUGGUUGUGCAAUCUGCCACGGUGCUGGAUCUGAAGAAGGCCAUUCGUAGAUAUAUAGAGCUCAAACAACAGCGAGAGGGUGGUGUCAAACACAUCGGCUGGAAAUACGUGUGGAGAACAUUUCAUCUGGUUUUCAAUGGAGAAAAAUUAGAAGAUGACAAUGGAAAGCUCAAGGAUUAUGGAAUCAGAAACAGAGAUGAAGUGACGUUCUUCAAGACACUGAGGAAGAAAUGAGAAGGGACUUGACAUUCAAUGUCUCGUUUUGUUGAAGGAAUUUCUCGUCAAAACUGGAACAAUCUAUUAAAAUAAUCUAGAAAGUUGUUGUUAGUUCCCAGGUUAUAUUUUUAUAAUAUUCAAAUCAACUUCAGCCUUUGUUUUCUCUGAAAAGAUGCAAAUAUAUGACAUGAAAGCAUAAUUCAUGUAAUCAACACAAGCACUAAUGAAGUAUAUUAAACAUUGUGAACUAUUGUUUAAAUAUUUGUGGAAUUUAAUGUUGAUUUUAUCAGAUAUCAGAUAAUAAAAUCUGGACAUAAUGAAAAUAUUGAGUUCCUGCCCAUAACGAAUGAAAUAAUAAUAGAAAACGAAACAAUAUAAAACUAAAUUUAUUUUAUUAUGGGUCCAGCAGAUCUGACAAAGCCUCAACAAGAUAUUUGUUUAGAAACAUUCUCGUGACAUGAACUUUUCAUGGCUUGCGCUCUGGAAGUAAGAAAAUAGUCAUACCACAUACUUUAAAUAUUGUAAAUAUCUUCCUCAUUCUGUAACAUUUCAGUAUGACUAGCCUAUUAUUUCCUUACCGCUGCAUUGUAAAUAUUGGAACAGUAAGGCUAAAUGCACCGACAACGGCAAACACAGUGAUAUCACGAUACCCAAGCAUCACUUCAGACAUAAGCAUGGGCUCUUGGAAGACUUAGAACAAGUGAGCUGUGAAUUGUCAACAUGCCUGGACAAUCUCAUGAACAGGAAUUGAACAUCGCAGAGGAGCUCAACCGGCUGUCCUUAAGCAGAGAGCAGCUCAUCGACAGACGCAAUGUCGUGGCUUUGCUUAUCGAUUUCAAGCGAAGUAAUGGCCAAAAUGAACAACAGUAUUGCAGAGAGACUGCAGAACUUCAAGAAAUUGAUAAGGAGCUCAAAGCUCUGUCUCAGAGGAAGAUUCAACUGCAGAUGGGACAAGACCGGAUAGAAGGAACGCAUAACAUAUUAAUUGACACAUCUGUAUCUUCUGCUGUUCUUGUGGGGGAUCCACCAUCCUUUUCAGCUCCGCAGAUUAUUCUGGAUGUUCAGGAACUUCCUAGACACGCAUCCCAGACGCAGUGUCCAUUCUGUCACGAAUAUAUAACCACAGACGUCACAAAGACCACCAGCAGUACCUCGUAUCUUAUGUGUUUUGUUUUCAUUAUGUUUUGUUGUGUAGCUGGCUGCUGUCUGUUCCCAUUCUGCCUGGAUACCUGCAAAGAUGUUGUUCAUAAGUGUCCAAGAUGUCGGAGUCACAUACACACGUGCAAAAAGCUCUGAGGGGUGGAACAUGUCGAGUGAAUUUAACUGAAAGAUCAAAAGAGAUAUCACAGUAUCUGUGCUACAGGAAAUUUGAGAAUAUUCAUUUCUUUCUUUGAUUAUAUUUCACCUGACUGGGUCAUUGGAAUGCCUGAAGCACCCUGGGAGUCUGAGACUUGUUUAAUGGUGAUAGCUCACGGAUAGCUGUUUGUGGGGUAUGAACCAGCAACCUUCUGGUUAUCAGCUCUGAGCUUUCGUCACAACACAGUGAAUGGAAUAUAAGGUUUCAAUGUGACCGUCUUGGUCAUUUGCUUUGAACGUUCAAAGCUAAAGUUCAUAUGCAUACUUUGAAACUGUUGAAUACCUGUACGUCCUAAAGCAGGAAACACUUUUAGGGUGUCCUGGAAGAAAAAAUAUGGAUAGAUGGAACACUGUGGUUGAAGUAUUGAGGACAGGAAUGAUAGGUUUCCAAAGUAAUUUAAUUUAAUAACAGUUUGUUUUAGUGUAUUUAAGGAUUUUAAAGGUGAAAAAUAUGAGAGUUAGAAAUGUCAAAUGUAAUUUAUACAUUGGGUUCUGGUUUUUAAUGCCGAUUUGUGAGUAGCCAUGGUUAAAUCAUGUUUGAACACAUCCAUGACUUAUUUAAUGAGCAGCACUUAUGGCGUUUUGAUGUAUAAAAAUAUUAAGUUACUAGUCAGAGAUUAUAUAGGCCUAUUCUUAUAGAGAUAAAUUGCAUUUAAUACUUAUUUGAUGUUUAAUACAUUAAUUGGAUAUGUUUGUUCACUUUGUCUUUAUUGUGUGGUAACUUUUUUAAAGUCACUUUGUCGCCUUGUAAUUAUAAUACUAUAUCUGACAUUUUUGUCACAAUUUAAUUAUUCACAUAUUCUGUGAAGUUUUUUCUUUAUGUUGUGUAUAUUUUGAAAGUCAAAAGGAAUUUAAAACUUUGAAGGUCCAAAAAUUCUCACCAUUUCUUGAAUCCCAAUAGAACCUUAUAUAUUAAAGGCGAUGACU
RNA transcript from Triplophysa dalaica, 3134 nucleotides. It is a transcript of the gene named small nuclear ribonucleoprotein 25, with no coding region annotated. The transcript is spliced from 10 exons. NCBI's taxonomy places the organism in Eukaryota, Metazoa, Chordata, Actinopteri, Cypriniformes, Nemacheilidae. The record is from RefSeq and is a predicted model, not a curated record.